This 486-nucleotide ribosomal RNA is filed under the name uncultured bacterium. Its description in RNAcentral is "partial 16S ribosomal RNA". It matches the Rfam family "Bacterial small subunit ribosomal RNA", at positions 30 to 507 of the family's 1533-position model. The record is from RNAcentral.
AUUGAACGCUGGCGGCAUGCCUUACACAUGCAAGUCGAACGGCAGCACGGGUGCUUGCACCUGGUGGCGAGUGGCGAACGGGUGAGUAAUACAUCGGAACAUGUCCUGUAGUGGGGGAUAGCCCGGCGAAAGCCGGAUUAAUACCGCAUACGAUCCACGGAUGAAAGCGGGGGACCUUCGGGCCUCGCGCUAUAGGGUUGGCCGAUGGCUGAUUAGCUAGUUGGUGGGGUAAAGGCCUACCAAGGCGACGAUCAGUAGCUGGUCUGAGAGGACGACCAGCCACACUGGGACUGAGACACGGCCCAGACUCCUACGGGAGGCAGCAGUGGGGAAUUUUGGACAAUGGGCGAAAGCCUGAUCUAGCAAUGCCGCGUGUGUGAAGAAGGCCUUCGGGUUGUAAAGCACUUUUGUCCGGAAAGAAAUCCUUGACUCUAAUACAGUCGGGGGAUGACGGUACCGGAAGAAUAAGCACCGGCUAACUACGUG